Temnothorax curvispinosus is the source of this 580-nucleotide long non-coding RNA. RefSeq lists it as uncharacterized. The record is from RefSeq and is a predicted model, not a curated record. Lineage: Eukaryota; Metazoa; Arthropoda; Insecta; Hymenoptera; Formicidae. The transcript has 3 exons.
CGGGCGCCAUUUUGGGUCCACGAAGUAUGUGUGAGUGUGUGUCGUACGAGAGCGGCAGUCUGUAUUGGUCUUUCAGUCACGGUGACACUACGAGAAAAGCGACUGUGUAAAAUAGGAGGUAGUGUAAAAUUUGUGGAAGGAAGAAAAUAUUUAGUUCGAAACGGAAAUACAUUAAUAAUGCCAGCUUGUUGUGCAAAGAAUUGUCGUAAUCGUGCGGAACAAGGAUUUCGUUUAUUUAGAUUUCCUCGCGAUAAACAGCGUAAAGAAAUUUGGAGCAAGCAAUGUAAUACAUAUCCGAAAGAGAAUUCGAGGUUAUGUGAGUUUCAUUUUGACGAUUCACAAUUUGAAGGUGGGCGGCAGGAUGGAUGGCACACAUUAUAACCCAAUGCUAUUCCUACUAUUUUUGUAAAUGAGGAAAUUGUUACUGAAGGUUUACGAGAUGAAACUGAAUCUUCUGCAACUAUUUUUUCUGAAGAAAGUUUACGAGAUGAAAUUGCAUCUUCUGCAACUAUUUUUUCUGAAGAAGGUUUACGAGAUGAAACUGAACCAAUUGCAACUAUUUUAUUUGAAGAAAAUGUUA